CUAACAUUAUCAUCCUUUUUUUGUUUUUUAUGAAUUAACAAAAUUACAGAUCUCGUCCUCCCAUUCUCUCCCUUGCUCCAGAAAAGAGAUUGUGAGAGAGGAUUGCUGUAUUCCGAGAAUCUCACAAGGGAAUGGACAAACAUACCAGAUUCCUCUCUCUCUCGUUGCGGCGCUGGCUACCUUUUAUCCAGUUGACAUAUGGAACUCUCUCCGUUUAGAACACCCGAUGCUAUCAUAACCAUAUUCUUUGUUACUGUGCUCGUUCAUGUUGCAUGGAGUGCAUGUGAAGUUAAGCUUGAAGCUGCUCACUUCAAAUCAAUUGCUGCCCACACCACUUGUCUAUAAUUCUUGCCCUUGUUAUUCUAAUCAUAGUCCUUGACCUAGCAAUUGGGUGGUCAUUUUUUUCUUAUUAGUCUUGUUUGUUGUUUAUAUGGGCUUAUGUGAGGAAUUGUUAUAAUUGCAUGAAUUGUUGUAUAAUGCAGUGAAUUGUUGUAUAAUGCAGUUCUGCAAGCAUAUGGGGGCUUAUCCAAUGUAGUUUUGCAAGCAUAUGGUUUUUGCAAUGUAGUUAUCCAUACAUAUGCAGAUCAUGGCAUGAAAAAAGAGUCAAAUGUUGAGUCAAUCAGGUCACUUGUGUAAUCUGACUGAGCCAUUGAAGAGAAUCAUUUGUUGGUGUCUCAUUGGAUUUGUUACCAGACAGUGUUUAUCUAGUAAAUGAUUCUCUUCAAUGGCUCGGGAAGGUUACACAAGCGACCUAGUUGACUCAGCUUCUGCCAUGCUAUGAUCUGUAUAUACUUGAAUAACUACAUUAUAAAGACCAUAUAUUUGGAGAACUACAUUGCAAAGAUCCCUAUAUGCUAGAACCGCAUCGUAAAGACCCAUAAGCUUGGAGAAUUGCCUUCUAUAAUGAUUCAUACAAUUAUGCUCA
Molecule: long non-coding RNA, 925 nt
Organism: Populus euphratica (Euphrates poplar)
Lineage: Eukaryota; Viridiplantae; Streptophyta; Magnoliopsida; Malpighiales; Salicaceae
Exons: 2
Source: RefSeq, a predicted model, not a curated record